RNAcentral lists this ribosomal RNA (456 nucleotides) under uncultured Desulfitibacter sp. RNAcentral describes it as "bacterial SSU rRNA". It matches the Rfam family "Bacterial small subunit ribosomal RNA", at positions 923 to 1382 of the family's 1533-position model. Lineage: Bacteria; Bacillati; Bacillota; Clostridia; Neomoorellales; Desulfitibacteraceae. The record is from RNAcentral.
GCACAAGCGGUGGAGCAUGUGGUUAAUUCGAAGCAACGCGAAGAACCUUACCAGGUCUUGACAUCCCUGACAACCCGAGAGAUCGGGCGUUCCCCUCGGGGGACAGGGUGACAGGUGGUGCAUGGUUGUCGUCAGCUCGUGUCGUGAGAUGUUGGGUUAAGUCCCGCAACGAGCGCAACCCUCGACCUUAGUUGCCAGCAUUCAGUUGGGCACUCUAAGGUGACUGCCGGCUAAAAGUCGGAGGAAGGUGGGAUGACGUCAAAUCAUCAUGCCCCUUAUGACCUGGGCUACACACGUGCUACAAUGGCCGGUACAGACGGAGGCGAAGCCGCGAGGCGGAGCAAAUCCUAAAAAGCCGGUCUCAGUUCGGAUUGCAGGCUGCAAUUCGCCUGCAUGAAGUCGGAAUCGCUAGUAAUCGCAGGUCAGCAUACUGCGGUGAAUACGUUCCCGGGCCUU